GACGAACGCUGGCGGCGUGCCUAAUACAUGCAAGUAGAACGCUGAAGGAGGAGCUUGCUUCUCUGGAUGAGUUGCGAACGGGUGAGUAACGCGUAGGUAGCCUGCCUGGUAGCGGGGGAUAACUAUUGGAAACGAUAGCUAAUACCGCAUAAUAGUAGAUGUUGCAUGACAUUUGCUUAAAAGGUGCAAUUGCAUCACUACCAGAUGGACCUGCGUUGUAUUAGCUAGUUGGUGGGGUAACGGCUCACCAAGGCGACGAUACAUAGCCGACCUGAGAGGGUGAUCGGCCACACUGGGACUGAGACACGGCCCAGACUCCUACGGGAGGCAGCAGUAGGGAAUCUUCGGCAAUGGACGGAAGUCUGACCGAGCAACGCCGCGUGAGUGAAGAAGGUUUUCGGAUCGUAAAGCUCUGUUGUAAGAGAAGAACGAGUGUGAGAGUGGAAAGUUCACACUGUGACGGUAUCUUACCAGAAAGGGACGGCUAACUACGUG
RNAcentral lists this ribosomal RNA (495 nucleotides) under uncultured bacterium. Its description in RNAcentral is "partial 16S ribosomal RNA". It matches the Rfam family "Bacterial small subunit ribosomal RNA", at positions 28 to 507 of the family's 1533-position model. The record is from RNAcentral.